RNAcentral lists this small nuclear RNA (107 nucleotides) under Theropithecus gelada (gelada). The record is from RNAcentral. Lineage: Eukaryota; Metazoa; Chordata; Mammalia; Primates; Cercopithecidae.
GUGCUUGCUUCGGCAGCACAUACACUAAAAUUGGAACAAUACAGAGAAGAUUAGCAUAACCCACGCACAAGGAUGACAUGCAAAUUUGUGAAGUAUUCCAUAUUUUU